This 70-nucleotide transfer RNA is filed under the name Correlophus ciliatus (crested gecko). Its description in RNAcentral is "tRNA-Pro". Lineage: Eukaryota; Metazoa; Chordata; Lepidosauria; Squamata; Diplodactylidae. The record is from RNAcentral.
CAGAAAAUAGUUUAAUGAAGAAUGCUAGUUUUGGGGACUAGCGAUGGGAAGUUGAUAAUCCCUUUUUUGA